AUAGGAUGCAACCGCAUUAUUAUUAAUUCGGAUAAUAUGGAGGUGAUCGACACCAUGAAGGAAGGAGGACGAUCGUCGGUGGCAGUGGCGGCAAUUUUUAUGAUUAUUUUUUUAGCUUGUGAUUUUCCUAUUUCUAGAUUUGAGCACUCUAAUAGAGAUGCAAAAAUUGCUCGUGAACUUGCCAAAUUGGCUAGAUUUUUGUUCAUUGAUGAACGGUUUGAGGAGCCAAAUAAUGAAACUAUACCAAUUCUCGUAAAUGAUGUAAUGGUUAUUUCUGAUGAAUAA
RNAcentral lists this ribosomal RNA (285 nucleotides) under Triticum aestivum (bread wheat). Its description in RNAcentral is "partial small subunit ribosomal RNA". Lineage: Eukaryota; Viridiplantae; Streptophyta; Magnoliopsida; Poales; Poaceae. The record is from RNAcentral.